GAUGAAGAACGUAGCGAAAUGCGAUAAGUAAUGUGAAUUGCAGAAUUCCGUGAAUCAUCGAAUCUUUGAACGCACAUUGCGCCCCUUGGUAUUCCAUGGGGCAUGCCUGUUCGAGCGUCAUUUGUACCUUCAAGCUCUGCUUGGUGUUGGGUGUUUGUCUCGCCUCUGCGUGUAGACUCGCCUUAAAACAAUUGGCAGCCGGCGUAUUGAUUUCGGAGCGCAGUACAUCUCGCGCUUUGCACUCAUAACGACGACGUCCAAAAGUACAUUUUUACACUCUUGACCUCGGAUCAGGUAGGGAUACCCGCUGAACUUAAGCAUAUCAAUAAGCGGAGGA
RNAcentral lists this unclassified non-coding RNA (337 nucleotides) under soil metagenome. RNAcentral's name for it is "partial contains 5.8S ribosomal RNA, internal transcribed spacer 2, and large subunit ribosomal RNA". The stretch from base 1 to 120 matches the Rfam family "5.8S ribosomal RNA", at positions 35 to 154 of the family's 154-position model. The record is from RNAcentral.